AGUCUCUGUAUAUCCCCAAUACUCAGCUUCUCAAACCCGAGUCUCUUAAAAUUUGCUCACAAAGUCUCUUCUCGCUCGCGAACAAAAUCCUUAUACAAGCCUUAGCCGCCCUUAUCCAACGCCUGAUUUUGGUCUCCAAAGCAUCCCACUCGAGUCUCUGUAUAUCCCCAAUACUCAGCUUCUCAAACCCGAGUCUCUUAAAAUUUGCGUCCACAACAGAUUUUCGAACACCCCCGUACACCUGGAUACACUCGCGCAAGU
This 261-nucleotide unclassified non-coding RNA is filed under the name Hevea brasiliensis (rubber tree). Lineage: Eukaryota; Viridiplantae; Streptophyta; Magnoliopsida; Malpighiales; Euphorbiaceae. The record is from RNAcentral.